RNAcentral lists this long non-coding RNA (2000 nucleotides) under Dasypus novemcinctus (nine-banded armadillo). RNAcentral describes it as "lncRNA (ENSDNOG00000051302.1)". The record is from RNAcentral. Lineage: Eukaryota; Metazoa; Chordata; Mammalia; Cingulata; Dasypodidae.
GGGCGUGCCCAAGAUCCCGGAGAAAGCGCCCAGACACUCCAGGCCUGCGGUCAAAACACACCCUGGGCGCAGAGAGGGCGGGGACCUCGGCGCCUCGCGGACCUGGCAGCGCACAGGUGCCUGCCUGGGUCCCGCUGGUCGGCUCAGAGACCCGGGCCCAGAGGAGAGUGCUCACGUCUCCUCCCGAGGCUCAACGUCCGGCCAGGGCACGCGGAGCCGGAGAAAAGUCGGCGCGAGCAGAGGGCGUGUGGCGAACAGAGCCGAGGGGGUGGAGAGGAUGGAACGGUCGCUCGCGCCACCGCGGCCACCUCAGACACGGCCGUCGCCGGCUCCUCUCAGCCACGGAAGUUGCGGGCCCUCCCAUCACACCCGCCUCCCGCCUCUUCACUCCGCCCUCCAGAGAGAGUGACAGCUGACGCUGGCCAAUCAGAGGCCUGGUCGGGGCCGAGCGCCGACAGAAUAAGGGAGGGAGGGGUAGAGAGAGAAACCAGGGAGGCUAGGACAGCGGCGGGACUUCCUGUGACUGACAGCAUGGCGCGGCCAAUGGGCAGCGAGGAGAUGACCUCAUCGCCGAGAGAGUCUGGAAGUGGCAGAGCUGCGGCAAGGAGGUGGGAGGAGAUGGACGACCAGUCGGAGGCGGGGCGCUGGAGCCUUAAAGCGGCCGCAGUUCAUUGGUCACCCUGUCAAGACAAGGGCGGUGGACCCGGCUGGACCUCGCCAAGUUGUCAAGGGUCAAGGCCCAGCCGCGAGUUCAGACUGCACUGAUCCUCCCGAGCCCAUCCCGAUCCUUCUGGGGGCAGAAGGGCACUCGCCUGGGGCUCUUAAGUCGGUUAUUUCAUUUUCACGCUUCCGAAAAGGAGACAAAAUAAUUCCGCACUGGCUCGGAGCCCUGAAUUCCCGUUAAGCCCCCGCCCCAGCGAGGCCUGUUGCCUCGUUUCUCUGAGUCAGUUUCCCCGACGGUAUAAGGGAGGACAUUGGCACCUACCUACCCCUCCCUGCAGUCUAGAAUGUUGAGAUCAUCAACUGUAGAAGUGCUUUUGGCUGUGAAAAGAAACAGGGCUGAACGAACCCUGAACGGCCGAACGGACACUCCCGAAAGAACAUCUUUAAAAGGGAGGACUGGAUUGGAUGACUCCCGACGACUUUGAUUUCUAAGAUUAUUAAAAUGCUGAUGUCUUACCCCUUCUGGCAUCCAUUCAUGUAGCCAACGUGUGUGUCCCCUGCGUUAGGCACAGAGCCACACAAUCCGCAAGACCUGAUUCAUGUCUUCAACAAGGAGAAAGAAUGCAAGCUAAAUAAACGGAGAGAGAAACAGAGCGAGGUCCGUUGUGGAAAGGGCCGUGGUGGAAGCAGGUCCUUUGGCUCACCCCCACCCCAGGCCCCAGCAACGGGAGGGAGAUCUGAAAACGAGAAAUAUCUCCAAACUGGUGGGGUGGAAAAGAAGGGGAAAUGCUAUCCUAAAGGCUUUCUGGGGAUGACCUUUAGAAAACCACUGGAGUAGGAGUAAUAGUAGCAUAGUAGCUAGAGGGGGAAGAGAGGAGUUCCCAGAGCAGGAGAGCAAAGGCACAAAGACUGACACUGGACAACCCACUUUAUAUUCCAGAAUAAAGUGUCACUAAGAUCUCCUGUUCUCCCUCUCUAUUCCCCCGCCGAGGGUCUCCCUGCCUUCCCAUUGAUGUAACUCUCAGAGGAAAGGCAGAAGAGGAUGCCUCUCCAACAUCUGCAGGAAUGGGAGUGGCCUUAGUAUUUCCAAUUAUUCAUCUUUAAGUCAGCCUCAAGUUCAGUACCAUGGGCUGAUGUAGAAUCUUGGAGUUAGACAGGAUCCAUGUGAUCCUUUAGUCACACAUCUUCCCCUAAGGCAAGAAUUCUUCCCCAACAGCCCUGAUAACUUUAUUUAUUCAACAAAUAUUUCAUGACACACACACCCUCCCACCAUGAGUAAGGGGUAAGAGAAAUGAGAUAUAAUCAGUGUCCUGGGGGCACUUACUCCAAACUGGGGG